RNAcentral lists this ribosomal RNA (497 nucleotides) under uncultured bacterium. RNAcentral's name for it is "partial 16S ribosomal RNA". It matches the Rfam family "Bacterial small subunit ribosomal RNA", at positions 28 to 507 of the family's 1533-position model. The record is from RNAcentral.
GAUGAACGCUGGCGGCGUGCCUAAUACAUGCAAGUCGAGCGAACAGAUAAGGAGCUUGCUCCUUUGACGUUAGCGGCGGACGGGUGAGUAACACGUGGGUAACCUACCUAUAAGACUGGAAUAACUCCGGGAAACCGGGGCUAAUGCCGGAUAACAUGUUGAACCGCAUGGUUCUACAGUGAAAGGCGGCUUUGCUGUCACUUAUAGAUGGACCCGCGCCGUAUUAGCUAGUUGGUGGGGUAACGGCUCACCAAGGCAACGAUACGUAGCCGACCUGAGAGGGUGAUCGGCCACACUGGAACUGAGACACGGUCCAGACUCCUACGGGAGGCAGCAGUAGGGAAUCUUCCGCAAUGGGCGAAAGACUGACGGAGCAACGCCGCGUGAGUGAUGAAGGUCUUCGGAUCGUAAAACUCUGUUAUUAGGGAAGAACAAAUGCGUAAGUAACUGUGCGCGUCUUGACGGUACCUAAUCAGAAAGCCACGGCUAACUACGUG